Molecule: long non-coding RNA, 4372 nt
Organism: Acanthaster planci (crown-of-thorns starfish)
Lineage: Eukaryota; Metazoa; Echinodermata; Asteroidea; Valvatida; Acanthasteridae
Source: RefSeq, a predicted model, not a curated record
CCAAGUCAAACUUCUGUUUAGUGCUAGAGUGUGGGCUUGACCGGCCGUUCUCGUCAUUCAUGACUGUUGUACAGUGAUAAGAUGUGCUUUUGAGAUUACCCAGAGGACAAGUCCAACCAUCGUGACCGUAGCCCUGGCCUGGGACUCUGUGUGAGCUACAGGUAGAAAGCAUCUUUGACGUUUAUCCAUCAGCCAGAUAUUAGUCAGUAGACUGCAUGAGUUCAACAACGUACAAGCAGACUACGCGUGUCGAGACCCGCACUACCUCUCAACCUCAAGUCCGAAGUCGAACGACCGUUGUCCGCAGCUCUCACUCCUCCUCAAUGGCUAACUGCGGCUGGCUGUGGAGCAUCGUCUGGGCCCUGAUCCUGCUGGUCUUGGGCUGGCCCAUCGGGAUCCUCUGCGGCAUCCUCUAUGCCAUCUUCUGCGCCUUUGUGCCCUGCUGCAGUGGCUGCAGUGACCUCGCCAACUUCCUGCACCGGGGCCUAGAGCUGCCCAAGACGUGCGCUACCAACAUGGUGACACAGCGAUCGGGCUGUUAGAGUAGAGGUUGUGCCCCCGGAGGAGCAUCAUGGCAGCAUGCAGAUUCAUCAGAGGCCUGACAUCAGGAGGUAGUUCUCAAAUGCUCCAAAUUUGCCAGCAUUUCUAGGAGAAGCUUUGAGUAAACUGAGCCUUUGCUUUGCAUAAUCAUUGGUCAAAGUUUCUGAAAGAAUAAUACCAUCUCCUUCAGUAUUCACGCAGUUUUUAUUUAACCCCAACUAUUCUUUUAUGCUCUUUGCAGGAAUUAGGUGGAAUUCUUAUUGGUAUCAAAGUUGCCAAGAAAAUUGCCAUAUGGCACAGACAGAGAUCCGUGUGUAAUGUGACCCAUUUUCUCCAGAAGUUCAAAGUAGGAAGAUUUUCAAAGAACUGUGCACAGAAAUGAUUCUGUAGGGUAUUUGUAAACUUUGGUUGUACAUCGGUGGCUGUAAACUGUGUGCAUGAUUUCCACACUGCCCAGCUGCCAAGUUUUACAAAUCUACAUGUAAGCCUUCCUGGUAUUGGAGCCUCUCACUGGAAUCGGCCUCUGGUAUUCCUAAUUACACAGUACGUACAUGUACACGUAGCUCUUUCUAAAACUAGCUUUGAUAUCUCUUCAUGUUUUGGAACAAAAUUGUAAGUAGAAAAGUGUUGUACCUUUAUAAGAAUUUUCCUUUUCCAGAGCAAAGCAUGAAGUAGUGAUUGUGUAUUUAGAAAGGUUUUUUUACAUCUUCAAAUAGAAUUUGUCAUUUCUUUAAACUCUACACUUGAGUUGUCCUUUUGCUUACUUUUGGGCCAUGUGUGACUUUUUUGUGUAUGGAGCAGGUUGUUUCGAAUUUGUUUACCUCUCUGAAGUGUUUUUCGAAGGCCAUUGAAGUACAUGUAACUUGUAACUGGCCUAGCUACCCCUGUACCCCUCAUGUACGGUAGCUUUCAAAUAUUGAUGGCCGUGUGAUAUUUUUUCUUUGACUUGCCACUUUUCUUGUGUAAAGGGGUUUAUCAAUUCACCUCACACACAGGUUGAAACACAAAUGCGCUUUCAGGCGCAGCUUUCAAUGGAAAACCAAACACAGGCACGGAAAACCACCAAGAAAGAGAUUAGACUGAUGCCAAAAUUUGUAGAAUUUUACAGAUGUUGUAAGAGGUUUCUUUAGAAGGCAGAUUUCAAUCCUGUUGUCUGUUUCUAUCUGAUAAUGUUCAAAUAACCACAAACGACAAUUUGGCUACAUUGAAUGGUCGUAUUUCAGUAGCUUGUAACUUUCACGGAAAGUCUCUAAUGUUCUUACAGAGUACAGUUUGCAGAAGAAUUGAAGGGAAACUUGAAAUAACCACAAUGUUUAUUCCAUGGCAAAGCAGUUUUUAAGUUUCUAGAAUUGUUCUCAAACAAGUCACAGGGCCAUUCAAAUUCGCAGAUAUUGCCAGAAAGCUUUUGAGAAAAAAUUACCUUGCCAAAAUAACACCUUGUCCUUUUCGUGCCAUCUUUAAUGUUCUUUCUGCUGCUGUAUUGUGAUGCAUGAUUUUUUCUUUAGGUUUAUAUUUCACUGUUGUGGUGAACAUGUUGUGAACAUUGUGGUUUUUGCAUGAGAAGUGUAGACAGCCUACAUGGAGGAGUAAAACUGUGUAUGAAAAAUACAUGUACACGUAUGUGCUUGCAAUUUUUGUAUGAGCUUGAAGGAAUUUGCUUUAGCCUGGUUAAGAUAAAUUUGUUUAGUGAGUGAUAUUUCAGUUUUCGUUGAAAUGCACUUUACUUCCUUUACGUUUACUUUAACACCAACCUGGCAAUUUAAUGACAGAGAUUUGUAUCAUGUAACUAAAGCUUGGGGAAAAUCAUUCUUUAUAUUUAACCCUAACCCUCCUCAUUCCUCCAACAGGUGAAGGAUUCAGGAGGGUUAGGGCUAAGGACCCAAAAGUAAAUUGCAAACCCUCAGUUUCGAGUGCUUCUAUAGUUUUUGCAUUUUAUUUUUCAUACAUUGUAGUACGUUUUUAAUGGUUGAUCAUGAUCAUGAAAGCCUGUCAGAGGUCUAAUUUAUUAGUUGAACAAACUUGUUUUAAAGUCAGUCAUUUGAAAUAGGCCUGAUGACUGAGAGCAGUUGAAAUACUGACUUGUACUUGCCUUGCUUUCUAUCACAUUCUUGUCUUCCAGUUUGAUUUUCUACAUACAUGUACCAAAAAGUGACUGGUAGCAUGAAUAUUUUGGUGGUAAAGUUUGAAGUGAAAAAUACCGAAAACUUAGUUUUUCUACAGAAAGUCAUUGAAAAUGCCUUUGACAUAUCCAGAAUCUGACAUUCCAAUGGACAGUUCAGUUCUUGGAAUGUAUUGUACUGUUAACAGUUACAGUUAUUGCACGCAGGCCAGACUAGAAAUUAAAGUUGCCCAAGAUGUGCAAUUGCUUCAGGCUUGCUUAAUUAAAAAUAACCAUUUUUCCCAUUGUAUUACAUCUCAAAUAUUGGACAGCUCAUUUGCCAAGGACAAGCCUUAAUUUCAGUAGGUAUUCAGAAUGUUUUUACUUUUAAUGAGAACAAGUACAUGUAUGUGUCAAAAUGCCAUUAAUUAGUUAUUUUGGUUAUUUUUACUUUUUUAAUAUUCAUUUCAAGAGAUCAUGUUGUAGAUUCAAAGCUGAAAUCCUGUCAUACCUCUGUUGGUUUAUGUAAGAAACUUACAUUGUAAAUGCACUUUGCAAAGGCUUUGGGGCUUGCAUUGUAAUGACACAAGGUUGCACGUUUCUCAGACUAAACACACUGUUGUGGAAUCACAUGAUUUUGAACAAGUUCUUAAACAGGUGCAUUAUACCCAGCAUUAUGUAUACCACUACUGGUGGGAAACACCAGAGAUCAUGCAAUCUAGAAUUGGUAAGUUCCUGGGGUAGGGCUUAUGAAUCUAAUCAAAUUAGGCAUGGACAAACAAGUCUAGGCAAAGUGGAUAGCUGCACUGUGCAGCUAACACACAAGAGCUGAUGUGUACUAGGGAACAAUGCAUGUGCCCACUGGUUCACAUGCAUAUGGCAUGGAGAGUGCAUGAUCAGUUUUCAUCAAAAUAUGCACAAACCUGUGGCAUCUUCAUCAGGUGCACAUCCACAGUGAUGAACCAAGAUUCUGCCUUAUUUCCCUUUGUGUUGCUGUUUUGGGGUACUUGUUCUAGCAACAGACAGUGUGUUCUUUCAUUGUUCACACACAGUACUGGUAAAUAAGGUCAAAUAUUGCCCGAAUUUCUAGCAGCCUUUAAUAGUAUUUAGCAAUUAUCAAGCAAACAGUAAGUUACUAUAAAUGACCGUGUCCAAAUCAUUUGGCCGUGGCUAGCAAUUACACACGAGUCUAUGGUAGUGGCUGUUGCCGGUUCCCUUUGAGUCGUGUGUAAUUUCAAGCCGCAGCCAAGGGAUUUGGACGCAGCCUUAGCCCAUGUGAUUUACUAACCAGUUGAUGCAAUUUGUGUCAAAUACCAGAGUCUCACCAUCCUGCAGUGGUCACAGUUUUGGUAAACGUGGCAAUGCAUUUGCCAGUGCUCAGUUACAAAACAAGGCCAGUAGUCAGGCGUGACGAGUAUUGCAUUGGAGCCAGCAGACAACUGUACAUUACAAAUGCCAGAAGGAUUCUGGUUAAGCAUUUUUAUAACCCAAAUGGUCAACAGCAUCGACCAUGCACAUUUUACCACUUGCAAGUACUUACAUGUAUUUUCUUUGGGUUUUUGUUGGGUUCUUUUAAUAAGGUGCAUUUUUAAUAAUAUCCUGAGCAGCUUUCUUGUUUUGACUUGUCUUUUUUAGUUUCAAUUUAAACAAGUUGUAGAGAUGUACUGUAGAUUUCUGUGUAUGUAGUGUACAGGCUAAUGUGCAUGCAAUAAAAAAGAAAGAAAAGCUACUUGA